RNAcentral lists this long non-coding RNA (574 nucleotides) under Chinchilla lanigera (long-tailed chinchilla). RNAcentral describes it as "lncRNA (ENSCLAG00000025266.1)". The record is from RNAcentral. Lineage: Eukaryota; Metazoa; Chordata; Mammalia; Rodentia; Chinchillidae.
AUUGAAAGAUCUGCAUUCUGUAGAAUACUCUCAAAUGUUUUCCUGUUUUCAUUUUUAGCCAUUUAGUUCUCAUGGCUCCGUUCCAGGACUCUUUAAUUUGCCAGUAGCUGUUUUUCCUACACAGAUUACAGGAGUAAUUCAUCAGUGAAUGUUUCACUCAGUGGUCCCAUCUAAUAAUGGAGCCUGGAGUGCAGGAAGCUGGUAUUUGUUUCACAUUGAUGCUAAUGGUGUGAGAUCUUUCUGCUGUUUGCUGUCUGGGAAAUAAAGAUAGUACAGCUCAUCGUAAGAGGUAUCUGUUACAAUAAUGGAAAACUGACUGACACAAGAAAUUUUCUGAUCAGACACAUGAAGCAUAUGAGGAAGCAAUCAAGUGAAUAUUUAGGGAAAAGCCAUUUAAGCAGAGGGAAAGCAUCCUGGGAUGUCUAUGCUGGGAUAUUUUGGUGAAUUUGAGAAAAAGUAAGUAGAAAGGAUUUGUGAAACUGGUGCUCAGUGAUUUAUGAGUUGAAUUUAAAAGGUUUCCAGAAAUUAACUCAUACAGGAAUGUUUCUGCCAUAAUAAGAUUUUGGAUUUUAUU